GACGAACGCUGGCGGCGUGCCUAAUACAUGCAAGUUGAGCGCUGAAGGUUGGUACUUGUACCAACUGGAUGAGCAGCGAACGGGUGAGUAACGCGUGGGGAAUCUGCCUUUGAGCGGGGGACAACAUUUGGAAACGAAUGCUAAUACCGCAUAAAAACUUUAAACACAAGUUUUAAGUUUGAAAGAUGCAAUUGCAUCACUCAAAGAUGAUCCCGCGUUGUAUUAGCUAGUUGGUGAGGUAAAGGCUCACCAAGGCGAUGAUACAUAGCCGACCUGAGAGGGUGAUCGGCCACCUUGGGACUGAGACACGGCCCAAACUCCUACGGGAGGCAGCAGUAGGGAAUCUUCGGCAAUGGACGAAAGUCUGACCGAGCAACGCCGCGUGAGUGAAGAAGGUUUUCGGAUCGUAAAACUCUGUUGGUAGAGAAGAACGUUGGCGAGAGUGGAAAGCUCAUCAAGUGACGGUAACUACCCAGAAAGGGACGGCUAACUACGUG
This 497-nucleotide ribosomal RNA is filed under the name uncultured bacterium. Its description in RNAcentral is "partial 16S ribosomal RNA". It matches the Rfam family "Bacterial small subunit ribosomal RNA", at positions 28 to 507 of the family's 1533-position model. The record is from RNAcentral.